GCCAGGCGUGUUGGCAUGCGCCUGUAGUCCCAGCUACUUGGGAGGCUGAGGCAGAAGAAUCGCUUAAACCCAGGAGGCAGAGGUUGCAGUGAGCCAAGAUCGUGCCACUGCACUCCAGCCUGGGUGACAGAGCGAGACUCUGUCUCCA
Molecule: unclassified non-coding RNA, 148 nt
Organism: Pongo abelii (Sumatran orangutan)
Lineage: Eukaryota; Metazoa; Chordata; Mammalia; Primates; Hominidae
Rfam family: Metazoan signal recognition particle RNA
About the family: The signal recognition particle (SRP) is a universally conserved ribonucleoprotein. It is involved in the co-translational targeting of proteins to membranes. The eukaryotic SRP consists of a 300-nucleotide 7S RNA and six proteins: SRPs 72, 68, 54, 19, 14, and 9.
Source: Ensembl